This 203-nucleotide long non-coding RNA is filed under the name Elaeis guineensis (African oil palm). Its description in RNAcentral is "long non-coding RNA (EGUI_LNC051715)". Lineage: Eukaryota; Viridiplantae; Streptophyta; Magnoliopsida; Arecales; Arecaceae. The record is from RNAcentral.
CGUCUGACGUGCAUGCGAAGUAGAGGAUCUACAAAUCCAGGCCUCUGUGAAGAUUUAUAUUAAAUAAUUUGGAAUUUGAUCUCUGGUUCUACUACAUUUCAGGUAAAAAUUUGCUCAUUAAACAAGUAGAAUAUUAGAAAAUUUUUAGAUGCAACUUGGGCAUCCUGGAGGAAAACUGUUUUCCUUCCCUUCACACUGUAGAC